This is a long non-coding RNA of Dunckerocampus dactyliophorus (ringed pipefish), 514 nucleotides long. RefSeq lists it as uncharacterized. The record is from RefSeq and is a predicted model, not a curated record. The transcript is spliced from 3 exons. Lineage: Eukaryota; Metazoa; Chordata; Actinopteri; Syngnathiformes; Syngnathidae.
GGCAGCGGCAGAGCUUGAGAGUUGUUAUCAUAACUCGGACCUUGUUUUUGAUGUUCAACUAACAGUGUGCGUCUAUAAACCAAGCGACACUGACAUGCGACACCUCCGUGGAGAAAUGUCUGGUUUUCAUCUGCCAACGCAUCCAGUAAUCAUGGGUCACAGGUAUGCUGCAGCCUAUCCCAGCUGUCUACAGGCACCUUCAGGGUACACCUUGGACUGGUUGCCAGCCAAGCAAAGGGCACAUACAGACAAACUGCAGUUGCUUUCUUGGUAAGAUAUUAUUUUGGUUUAUUUUAUAUUUGGUUAGCAUCUUGGCCACACUGUCACCGUCUAGAGAUCAGGUAGACCUGGAUUCGAUUCUCCCUUGGGCAUUUUCUGUGUGGAGUUUGCAUGUUCUCCCCGUGCAUGCGUGGGUUUUCCUCCCACAUUCUAAAAACAUGCAUGUUACGUCAAUUGGAGACUCUAAAUUGUCCAUAGGUAUGAAUGUGAGUGUGAAUGGUUGUUUGUCUAUAUG